CAGAUGACGCUGUAAUUGAAGCAUACAAGCUCCCAGACAUGGAAGACAUGGGAAAAGGCAAUGCACAAGGGACAAGAACAGCAGAUGGAGUAGUAGGUUCUUCCUGUCUAACAAUCUCCCCUUGGCUUACAUCAUCCACAGGAAACCCCUCAUUCAAAUCAAAGUCCAGUUUUACUGCAGUAUCGGACCCAGAAUCUGUAAGGGACGGAUUAACAUUGGAUGUAUGCUGUUCAAGCACAGCCUCAGAUUCAUUUCCAUCUAAGUUACACUCUGAUGUUUCGGGGACUUCAUUCUCUUUCCCAGGAAAUGUUGGCAACUCGGGAUGACCUGAUAAGCCAGAACAGUGACCAAGAACCUCCUUUGUACCCAAAUUCUCUUCAACAUGUCCAUUGGUGCCAGCUGAAACAACUGAGUCCAGAUCCAUUGGUUUUUUGUCAGACUCAAUCUCGUCUGACUUCAAGUCAUCACUAUUGUCAUCCCUGGAUGCCAUUGAAGCAUUGCCAGCAGCAGUAGCUAGCUUGACAUCCUCCAUUUUCAAAUUUAUAGGCUCACCGUUUUCUGCAAGUGGAGAGGGCUUUUGCACUGCUAUGCCAGUAACUCUCACUUUCUCUGCAAUAAUCUGAUUCUCAUUACCAACAUCUGAUGAUAACUUAGAUGAUUUUUCAUCUACUUCCUUAUCGACAUUUACACAUGCAGGGACUUCCUUUGAAACCAAUAUUUUCUCAUUCUCUGUGAUUCUUUCAUCCACUUGAUCAUCUUUCUUAUCUACAUCAAAAGAGGAAUUUAGUGAUUUUAAUUUAGAGUCUGAACUACUGCUGCCUUUAGCCCAUUGACUUCCUAAUUCCUUCUGGACAUUUAAAAGGUUUGCUCCUCCAGGCUCCACAUCAGUCUCCUUCAUAGCUGGCAAUGCAGUUCCAGAAGCACCCUCUUUGAUUUCGGGCAGUAAGCAUGGACCUUCAGCGUUCUGCAACAAAUCUGUAGUGGAUAAAUUCAUUUGAGUUCUGCCAUCACCAGUGUUUUCAAGACAACUGGAUGACAUGGCUUCGCCAUCUCCAGAACCAUUGUGUGACACCAUCGUAACAGGAUGCCUCGAAUCAUUAUUAAAUUGCAAUGGGUCAACAGUCUCCAAAUAAUGCUCUCCAGUAGCCCCUCCAUCAGAUUGUGCAAGGGUACAACCAACUCCUCCACCAGAAUGUUUUGUUUUGCAAUCACUGCCGGAGCUUGAUACAUCUGCUGCAGGAGACUUCCUCUCAGGUGAAGAGGGUGGUAAAACAUUUUUGGAUCUAGAUAUUUCCCCUGCAGCCACAGUGGCAAGUAGGUUCAUCCCAUCAUCACCAGGGAAAGUAGAAGCACUUGCUUCUGAAAUUUUCACGCAGCUUUCAACCAAUGCAUUCAUGGGACUUAAGGAAGCAUCAUAAAUCUGCCCUGAUCUGGAAACAAAUCCCGAUGAGGAACUAGUGGGCUUCGAUGUUUCAGGUACUUUAUCACCAUCUUCACUAGCCACGCACCGCUCAUCACCAAUCGGGGAACGGCCCUCUGUAGAAUUCAUUACCAAAUGGUGUGCUACCUGUAGGAACCAUGAUCCGCUGUGCACUAGCACCAGCAAUAUAACUCUGAUCCCCUCUGCCAGGCAGAAGAGGCGGGACAGUAAUUGCUGAAUAAGAAUUGGCUGGAGGAAACCAUGAAGAAUAGCUACCAUAUUCAGGGUUAUUUGUUCUUGAGCCAUGAACAGCGGAAGGAAAUGGUAUGGGGCUUUUAAUCUGCUGACAACGAGCUGGGACUUCAGUGCUCACUUCAUCAAGGCCUGGUCCAUUAUUUAAAUCAAAGUCUCUUGAGACACUUCCACCAUUAGAUAUCCCACCUGACAAUGAAGGCUUACUAGAUAAAGAAGGAAUAUCCAGUUUGCCCACGGAGAAAGACCCAGCUUCAGGAGUCUCAUCAACUCUGUUUAAAUCAAGAUCAAAUCCCACUGCGCUGCGAUCGUGUGGCUGAGAUUCUAAAGAACCACGGGAAGCUACAUCAUCAAAACUGACUUCAUCUGCCACAUUUAAAUCAAAAUCUAAAAGAGGGCGGGGUUGUUUGAUAGGAGUGGCAUCAACAGAAGGAAUACCACUCGUAUUUGAUGGUGCCUCUGCAUUUUUCCUAGGUUCAGCUGGCCGGAAUGCACUUGUAGCUGCUGAUCCCUUCCAUCCGAGUUCCCCCUUAUUCCACAUUGGGCUUUCUGAUGGAACAACAGGCCCCUUGGCAGCAGAUGACGCUGUAAUUGAAGCAUACAAGCUCCCAGACAUGGAAGACAUGGGAAAAGGCAAUGCACAAGGGACAAGAACAGCAGAUGGAGUAGUAGGUUCUUCCUGUCUAACAAUCUCCCCUUGGCUUACAUCAUCCACAGGAAACCCCUCAUUCAAAUCAAAGUCCAGUUUUACUGCAGUAUCGGACCCAGAAUCUGUAAGGGACGGAUUAACAUUGGAUGUAUG
This 2474-nucleotide long non-coding RNA is filed under the name Lupinus angustifolius (narrow-leaved blue lupine). RNAcentral's name for it is "long non-coding RNA (LANG_LNC000741)". Lineage: Eukaryota; Viridiplantae; Streptophyta; Magnoliopsida; Fabales; Fabaceae. The record is from RNAcentral.